RNAcentral lists this ribosomal RNA (253 nucleotides) under uncultured bacterium. RNAcentral describes it as "partial 16S ribosomal RNA". It matches the Rfam family "Bacterial small subunit ribosomal RNA", at positions 524 to 776 of the family's 1533-position model. The record is from RNAcentral.
UACGUAGGGGGCGAACGUUGCUCGGAAUUACUGGGCGUAAAGGGUGCGUAGGUGGCUGAGCAAGUCAAAGAUGAAAUCCCGAGGCUCAACUUCGGAACUGUCUUUGAAACUGUUCGGCUUGAGGAUAGUUGAGGAGAGCGGAAUUCCCGGUGGAGCGGUGAAAUGCGUAGAUAUCGGGAGGAACACCGGAGGCGAAGGCGGUUCUCUAAACUAUUCCUGACACUGAGGCACGAAAGCUAGGGGAGCGAACGGG